ACGGAGCGGCGAACGGGUGAGUAACACGUGGGCAACCUGCCCCUAGCUCUGGGAUAAGCCCGGGAAACCGGGUCUAAUACCGGAUAUGAGAUCGGAAGGCAUCUUCUGACCUGGAAAGUUUUUCGGCUAGGGAUGGGCCCGCGGCCUAUCAGCUUGUUGGUGAGGUAACGGCCCACCAAGGCGACGACGGGUAGCCGGCCUGAGAGGGCGACCGGCCACACUGGGACUGAGACACGGCCCAG
Molecule: ribosomal RNA, 242 nt
Filed under: uncultured bacterium
Lineage: Bacteria
Description: partial 16S ribosomal RNA
Rfam family: Bacterial small subunit ribosomal RNA
Source: RNAcentral